RNAcentral lists this long non-coding RNA (226 nucleotides) under Physcomitrium patens. RNAcentral's name for it is "long non-coding RNA (PPAT_LNC013371)". The record is from RNAcentral. Lineage: Eukaryota; Viridiplantae; Streptophyta; Bryopsida; Funariales; Funariaceae.
UCCAUUCUCCAAUAUACCAAUAAAACUCGCAUCAAAGACACCUUCAUCUCGCGAGAGUACCUCCUCUUUUGUACCUCCAUAAUCUCGCUUUACAGUGGUACCUCCCCAAAAUCCUUAAAUCCUUCAACAAUCUUUGGCAAUGGUUUCUCCCUCAACCUAUCUCGAUUCCGUUCAUGGUUAGGAGGUACUGUUAGAAAUUGUACAGCUUUCCUCCCAUUUUCGCUCC